RNAcentral lists this ribosomal RNA (720 nucleotides) under uncultured bacterium. Its description in RNAcentral is "bacterial SSU rRNA". It matches the Rfam family "Bacterial small subunit ribosomal RNA", at positions 413 to 1123 of the family's 1533-position model. The record is from RNAcentral.
GGUUUUCGGAUCGUAAACUCCUGUCAGAAGGGAAGAACCGUCACAGUUCGAAUAGGGCUGUGACCUGACGGUACCUUCAAAGGAAGCACCGGCUAACUCCGUGCCAGCAGCCGCGGUAAUACGGAGGGUGCAAACGUUGCUCGGAAUCACUGGGCGUAAAGGGUGCGUAGGCGGCCCGAUAAGUCAGAUGUGAAAGCCCUCGGCUCAACCGAGGAAUUGCAUUUGAUACUGUCGGGCUUGAGUUCGGUAGAGGAAAGCGGAAUUCCUGGUGUAGCGGUGAAAUGCGUUGAUAUCAGGAGGAACACCGGUGGCGAAGGCGGCUUUCUGGGCCGAUACUGACGCUGAGGCACGAAAGCGUGGGGAGCAAACAGGAUUAGAUACCCUGGUAGUCCACGCCGUAAACGAUGAGAACUAGAUGUCGGGGGGAUUUAGCCCUUCGGUGUCGCAGCUAACGCGUUAAGUUCUCCGCCUGGGGAGUACGCCGGCAACGGUAAAACUCAAAGGAAUUGACGGGGACCCGCACAAGCGGUGGAGCAUGUGGUUUAAUUCGAUGCAACGCGAAGAACCUUACCUGCCCUUGACAUCCUCGGAACUUGUCAGAGAUGACUUGGUGCCUUCGGGAACUGAGUGACAGGUGCUGCAUGGCUGUCGUCAGCUCGUGUCGUGAGAUGUUGGGUUAGGUCCCGCAACGAGCGCAACCCUUGUCCCUAGUUGCCAGCA